ACGUUAUUCGGAAUCACUGGGCUUAAAGCGCGUGUAGGCGGGACGGCACGUCGGCCGCUGAAAUCCCCCGGCUCAACCGGGGAAGGGGCGCCGAUACGACCGGCCUGGAGGGACGUAGGGGGGGCUGGAACUUCCGGUGGAGCGGUGAAAUGCGUUGAGAUCGGAAGGAACGCCCGUGGCGAAAGCGAGCCCCUGGACGUCUACUGACGCUGAGACGCGAAAGCCA
This 226-nucleotide ribosomal RNA is filed under the name uncultured bacterium. RNAcentral describes it as "partial 16S ribosomal RNA". It matches the Rfam family "Bacterial small subunit ribosomal RNA", at positions 538 to 762 of the family's 1533-position model. The record is from RNAcentral.